CACAGCUGAUAAGUGAAGGAUGAAAGCUUCACGUACAUCUACAUAAAGUUCAAGGCAAAAUGCAAGGCAAAAACCUGGAAGAAACUGAUACUAUGGCAGCAGGGCACUCAAAACUGGGUAUAAAGAUAUGGGAAAUACCAGAGAGUGAGGGACUUUUUGGAACAGAGAGAUCCUCUCUUUCAGGGUAUGCAACAAAUGCUUCUAAUUUGUUAAAGGGACUGCGUCUCUCACCUGAUAACCUGAUAGCCACAGCUUCGUAGGAUAUGUGGCUCCCUCUAGAGCAGCAGGAAGUACCUGAGUCCAUGAAGGCAAAAGGAGAACACAUUCCAUUCAGAAAUCAAAGGAUAUUCUAGAAUAAUCCCCUUAGAAAUGGAAAAAAAUGAAAUAAAAUCCUCCGAUAUUCCAGAUAAAUGAAGAAACAACAUCGUGCACAGUUUCUUUCAAUAGUAUUUGUUAUUUGUCAUAGACUAUCCUUCCCUAGCUAUUUGAAAAAUCAUGAAAUUAAGUGAAAAACAGGAUGGUUUUUUUGUCUGUCAUGACCACUUAUUGCCUCCAUAUAUGAAUUAACCUAAAUUGGAAAGAAUUUCUGAAGUAAAGAAUAUGGAUUAACUGCAUUUGUUAGGCAUAACUUUGUUCUUAACUUCUACUGAUAACAGGCUGGUUCCAAAACCUCUCUUAGCAUUACUUCUACUAAAACUUGGAAUGCCAGAACUGAAAUAUUGUCACCUAGUUUUCCCCACAUAACUUUCUCUUUAGAGAUGUUAAUCAUAUUAACUUUAACAUUCUGAAAUUAGAAAAUUCAAGCCACUAAGAUUUUUUGGUUAGCCAAGAAAUCAUAAAGACAUUAUUAAUUCUGGGAUGUAUUUUUAAUUGGAAAUUCAGAAAUCAAUUCUGUGCUAAACUGCAGUUUAGUUCGUCUAUGAGAAUAAUAGAUGCAAUUAAAUUUAAAUUCAUCCACCCCUGCACUCAAAACAGUCCUUACUAGAGAGCAUGGCCUUAGCAAUUUGUCUGGUUUAUAUAUUAACUCAACAGAAGAAUUUGUAUGUGGACCUAGUUGUUCAGUCACUAGUGGGAUGAUGCUAAUUUUGAGUCACAGCAUAGCUGUGAUUUCAUCAGCAUUCUGCUUUGCAAACCUCCUUAAAAGUCCCCAUGACUUUGUUGUUUGAUUCUGACUUCAGAUUGUAUUCCCUUAGACCAGUAGGUCCCACUGGUCCCUUACUUACAAAUUAAUAUUUCAUAGCAACAUCCACACAUAACAAAUUUACAAGAACACAGGUAUAAUAAACCUAACAUGAAAAGUCACCAAGCACAGAAAGCAUCACUUUCAAGUCUUUAAGAAAAGUGUCUUUGCAGUACUUAGAAAAGCAGAAGCCCUUCUGCAGUCAGCAGACCACGCUUUUUUCCACACUGUUAUUUGUACUGUUAAAUCAUCUUAAUGCUUAAUUUCCACUGUUAAAUAUUAAACAGACCCGAUAUAGCAUGGAAUAGAACAACAACAACAAAAAGACGGGAUGGAGAUGGAGGUGAGAUGAGAGGAGAGCAAAUAUUGAUUACAUGGUAUUUCCCAACAUAGUUCCUGCAAUUUGGUCAAGCCAAAAAAUUUUUGAAGCUUUUUGAACAGUGACUGUGAUUUUCUGUCUGUUCCUCCUGAUGAAGUGGAGGAGCUUAGCGUUAACAUUGUGUAAUUGAGACCCUACCGAAAACCAGCUAUUUUUGCCUGGAACUAAUGCUUAGUGUCAACAGUCAGCAAAAUACUUUGCUGCAGUUCAGUGCUCCCCCAAAGUCUGAUCACAGCCAAAUAUUCCUCCUGAUCUUGAAACUGAGUAUGGACACCAAAUUGUCUGUACACUCUCUGUCUGACUGUAGUAAUGAUACAUCAAUGGUCACGUGAAAUAUAUUUCCCUAUUUGUGACCACUUUCCCCUUACACAUAAAUAAUUUAGUCAAUACAUAGAUAAACAAAGAGAACAUUCAUGGAUAAAUCUUGUCUGGACAUUCACCCUUCUUUGUUUUUCUCUUUCCUUCUUUUCCUCCUUUUUCUUUGUACUUAUUUCCUCUAAUUUUAGCUGCAAAAGCUCACAAUCACAGGGAUUGUUUUACUUGUCAAAGCCUAGGUGAACAAAUGGUCAUGGUUGUCAAGGACAAACUAUGCUACAAAAUGGAUAUACACCUCUUGUUUUCUUUUCAUUUGGGAAGGUCUGUAAUUACUGUCUAGUUUACAAUGAUGAUGGGCUAAAUUUUAACAAGGUACUUCCCUUCUAUUUAUUUAUAACAGCAAAAUAAGAUGCAACAUCAAUUUUAAACUAAAAUUUUGUGUGCCAGGUGUGACCUUCAAUGCCAUGAGCCAGUAACAGUAACACCUUCCUGCUAAUCACAAUUUCAGCUCUCAAACUAUGUCAUGAAACCACAUUAACUGGAUUCAUAGCGGUCAUUCCUCUACUGUAGUAGAUCCUGCUUCUUAAUUAUUUGUAAUGGGAAUAAAAUUCCAGAAUACUUAAAUAAUCAAAGAUGUGUUGUUUACUACUGCUGAUAAUUAAGACCACAAUCAACUUGCUACAAAUUCUACAUAACUAUGUAAUCUAUGUUAUUGUUCUGCACUUCAUGUAUAUCUGUAUGUAUUCCACACCCCGUCUCACACUUCAACAUCUUUAGGAGAAAUCUAACUAUACAUUUCAUGCAUUUAAUGACAUUUUGCAAACAGAUUCCUGACAGUUUCUUUUGUUUCAAACUUGCUGAGUGUUUCUGGAGACCAAAAGUGGAUGUGAACACAGUGAGGCAGGCAGUGGGUAGGGCGUUUCAGCAGUGGCAAUAAUGAUGGCAGGUCAUCUUCACUGCUGCAGAUUUUUAUGAUCAUGACAUACAGGCUCUUGUAAACCUUUGGCAAAAAACACAUAGCUAAUGGUGGCGACUAUGUUAAAAAAAUAGGCUUUUGUAGCUGAGAAUUUUCUCUAUCAAAUAGUACUAUUUUAUUCUUUGGAACUGCUCUACUUUCUAUGAAAUAAAUAAGAGGCAUUACCUUUGGAGGGACCUAAACACUGCAGUGAUAGCUAUACGUUAAUUUCCAGCUUUUAGGUUACAAGAUCAACUCCAGUUACAGAUUGCCUACUACAAUGUAGCAGGUGUCUUAUAUGUAUUACACAGCAGUAACAAGUAAACCUCCUAAUGCUGCUUCAAAAGUGUGCAGGUUGGUGUACAAGACAGAAUUUUGCACGUGAUGGGAGCCCUCCUGGAAAGGGAGCAGAAGUGUAGAGAGCAUGUUCUAGCAUUAGAAACCUUUAUUCAGACCUCAAAUUCUUUUAAAAGAUGGUCAGUUUUUCACUAUUUUUAUGUUUAGCAGCUUCUCUGUGGAGAUUCUUUUCAGAUUUGUGUAUUUGUGUAAUAGUAGUAUUUGUUAAAAAAAAAAAAAAAAGUAUUCUGAAAUUCUCAUGUUUGAACGAUUUCCAAGAAAGGAAAAAGUAUUCAAAACAGUUGACAAAAUAAAAUAAAAACUAAAGGUUGAAAUCUUACUUAUUAUAAAGAUCUUCAGGAAUACUUUUCAUUGUCCAAAUAAAGUUGAAAAUAUUGGAGUGACUUCAGGCUGGGAUGGACUGCCUGAGGAGCAAAGUACUGUUUUGAAAAUUCCAGAAGAAUUGCCAGCUCUGUUGAGCAGCUGAGCUUUAACUUUGGAAACAUCACUAACUGUUGGACUUCAGUUUCCUCACUAAGUUAGGUUGGUCCACUGACCCCACUAUCUGGGAUCAUCUCAGCUGACCUGCUUCCUAUACCUCCUUUGUACUUCUAAGCAAUACCAAAUUGAGUGCCUACCUUUAGCCAUGCUUUUGAUCAAGUAUGGCUGAUCAAAGUGGCUUGAAGUAAAUACCAAUGGCGUUAUUGUGUGACUCAGAAGCAGAGCUGCCCAGGCACGUGAUAUAGACUUUGGCUAACAGCCAAAGAAAGGACACAGAAUGCGGUUGCUAGACACAAAGGUAAUUUGCCUUUUUAUUUCUCCCAGUCAGUCUCUCUACUCAUACAGAAGAUUUUAAUUGGAAAUGUAGGUAAAAAAAAAAGAAUCCAUCUAGUAGAAAACACAGAAAGGUGUCAGCUUUCAGUUUUGUUUUGAAUAGUUAUAGAGUAAAUUCAGCUUUCUUCUGACUAUAACUUCUAGCUAUGUAGGAAGAUUUAGGCCAACAUCAUGUGACUUAUAAAAGCACUACUUGAAACCAUAAAGAGCCAUUGUUCCACAGAAUUAUGCAUUAUAAUUACCUCAAAUCAGUUAAUUUUAACAGAAAACUGUUUGAAUUGUGACUAUUUGAUACUGAACCUGAAUUUCUCUAAAAAAAACCUCUUGACCUAUCUGGUGUUGCAUCCUACAUAUUCUUAUCAGUUCUAACAUUCUUUUUCAACAAGUCACUCUCAUCAACAGAUAACUCUCAUCUCCUUGUAGCACCUAGUCUCUCUUCUCCAUUCCUUCCAUACUCUUGGAGGGAGUUGGCCAACAGAGCCCUUAGAAGAAUCACGGAGAAAGCAUUUCCUAAAAAAUCUCAACGAGAUCCUUCAUCGAAACUUUUAAUGAUGAAGGAAAGCCUGGAUUGAUAUUCAUUUAGUACCCACGUGUGUUCCUCCACAGAGCAGCGGAGCAUUACAGCAGUCCUAGGGUUGGGGUCAGUGAGAUAGGACCCAGAUGUAAAGACCAGAAAAGGGUAAUUAGGUCAUUAGAACUAGGUGACAGUGCCCUGCUCUCAAGUUCAUUGAUUAGGCAGUGAGAGUGUGUGUGUGCAUUGUUUUGUUUUGUGUUGUUGUGUUGUUUUUUUUUGUUUUGUUUUGUUUUUUUCCUGGAUGAUGCAAUGUUAUUAAAUUAGUGCCUUUGGUUGAGUUUAGGCGGGUGGGGAUUAUGGAAACUUGUUUGAACUGGUCUCCAGCCUUUGUGAAUGCUCCAGCUUUCCUACUAAUUAUAAUUGAAUAAAUCUCUUAACAAACACAUUUGUUUUUCUAAUUCGCCUCCACACUCUUAAUUGCUGUAACUUCAAACCCAACACCCAAAUAUUACAGCAUAGAUGACAAUUAGCAUCCCUUGCUCUUUGGAGACCUCUGAACUAUUAAGAUGCCUUCUGAGGUAAGAUUUGAAGCACAGCAACUAGGAUCUCUUCACCAGAAACUGAAUCCAACAAGCCAGGAUAAGCCUAAGAAGAUGCAUCAUUUCCAAAGGAGGAAAAUCUUUUACCCUUCUCUUCAUAGUUUACUAUAAAAACCAAGUCUAUCAAAUCUUUGAGAUGGGAAUCCUGAUAUCUGCUUUUUUGAUGACAGUAAGCUCAUAACUGAGCUACAAAUCCAUGGUCUGAAAAUUACUCAUUUAGUACAAAGUACAUCACAAACUUCAUUUCUUUCUGUACUGAGAGACUUUCAGGACUUUCAUGCAAGUAGACAGAUUCUUCAGUGUGCCUGCAUCGCUUAUUGCCCAUUACAGUUCCCUUAACAUAUUUUUCUCGGAAAAACUUGGAAUUUGUCUGAGGAUGUUAUUUCCAUUUAAGGAAACAUACACAAAGAAGUUAGAACAUUUUCAGGAAUGUUUUUGCUUUGAUGGCAAUUUCAAAUUGAGAUGAUAAAGAUGUUCUACACUGUUUUUUAUCAGAUGCUACCAAAUUAAAAACUUUUCUAUUAUUUAUCAAUAAAAUGCCUUUUUAUCAGCCAGUCAUUCAGUACAAUGAAAUCCCUAUAUACAGUUUUUUGAAGACCAUGAAGAAGGUGGAACCAUCAGCAAAAUCACCACGAAAUUCAUUCCAUUCUGAAAUGAUCUCCGAAUUCCCUGAGAGAUUUCCUGAACUUAUUGCUUAUAGACUCACAGAAGGAUCUUCCCUCUGCUCCUAGCUUAUAUAUUUUUAAAGAUCCUUAUGAAGAAUUCCUGCAAUAUAUCGACCAAUCUGCAGUCCACACACAUAUCAACAGUUUCAAAGAAUUCUUCAGCAAAGCCAUAUUAAUUCUUGAAUGUUUUGUCAUAUGUAUUCACAUGACGACAAAUUCUAGUUUCCAAAAUUCAAAAAUUGGGCUAUGUGAUCUUCAUUUCACUACAUGUUUACAUGCAAAGUUUUUUUUUUUAAUAUUACGUUCGUAACUUUUUUCACUCUGAUAUAGAAACCAAUCCAAGUAGUGCAGAACAGUGAAAGUUCUAACAUUUUUCUUAAGACAGAUAAGAGCUCUUACAUAAAUACUUAGCACUUUGUUGUUACUUUCCUUUCCUCCCC
This is a non-coding RNA of Meleagris gallopavo (turkey), 6217 nucleotides long. The record is from RefSeq and is a predicted model, not a curated record. Lineage: Eukaryota; Metazoa; Chordata; Aves; Galliformes; Phasianidae.